Molecule: long non-coding RNA, 692 nt
Organism: Mauremys reevesii (Reeves's turtle)
Lineage: Eukaryota; Metazoa; Chordata; Testudines; Geoemydidae
Exons: 6
Source: RefSeq, a predicted model, not a curated record
CCUCUCCUCCCCCAUGUUCUUUCCGCUUCCCCGGGCAGCGCGGGGGCAGGGCGGGCAGGCAGGCAGGGAGCCUGCCCGGUCCACGCAGGGCCAGAGCCGCUCUAGCUUGGACAGCCAAUUGUUCUCAUAGUUCCUGAAAGACUAGGAGUCAGGACCCCACCAGCAGAUUUCAUAUGCAGGCCAUGGUACCUGGCAACCAUAAGUGGCACCUGAACACAGAAGCCAAAAAACCAGACUGUCCGGGUCAAAUGCAGACAGGUGGCAACCCAACACUCGGGUCAAUUAAAGCGGUGCUAGCAAGUACAAGGAAAGAACAGAACAGUUUCUACACUUCUUUGGAACCACAAUGUAAAAGCAGUGACCCUGGGAACCUACCUCAUAAUUCCUAAUAAGCAAAAUAAAUUGAGUCAGCAAGUGUCAGACGGCCUGGAAACCACAGACAGAAGUGCUGCUCCUGACCUUCAGCUGGUGCUUGGACCUUCUGCUGCUGCUGCAAUGCCCUUUUCUCUGGAUGGGGAAGAUGAGACAGCGAGAGGUUACAGUGAGUGACUUGCCCAAGGACAUGCUGCAAGUCACUGACGCAGCCAGGCGUAGAACCCAACUUUCCAGCCUACCUGUCUCAUAUUGUUCUUGUGAUAAUACAUCAUGUGUUUAACAAGAGUAACUAUGUUGAGACAUGAGGCAUUUAAAUU